UAGGGAAUAUUGCAAAAUGGGCGAAAGCCCGAUGCAGCAACGCCGCGUGGGCGAUGAAGGCCUUCGGGUCGUAAAGCCCUUUUUGAGGGGAUGAGGAAGGACAGUACCCUCAGAAUAAGCCUCGGCUAACUACGUGCCAGCAGCCGCGGUAAAACGUAGGAGGUGAGCGUUAUCCGGAUUUACUGGGCGUAAAGCGCGUGCAGGCGGAUUGGAGAGUUGGAUGUGAAAGCUCCCGGCUUAACUGGGAGAGGUCGUUCAAUACUUCCAGUCUUGAGUGCAGUAGAGGGAAGUGGAAUUCCGGGUGUAGUGGUGAAAUGCGUAGAUAUCCGGAGGAACACCAGUGGCGAAAGCGGCUUCCUGGACUGUAACUGACGCUCAGACGCGAAAGCUAGGGUAGCAAACG
Molecule: ribosomal RNA, 403 nt
Filed under: uncultured bacterium
Lineage: Bacteria
Description: bacterial SSU rRNA
Rfam family: Bacterial small subunit ribosomal RNA
Source: RNAcentral